CCCGAGACCGAUAGCGCACAAGUAGAGUGAUCGAAAGAUGAAAAGCACUUUGAAAAGAGAGUUAAACAGUACGUGAAAUUGUUGAAAGGGAAGCGCUGGUCCCCAGACGUGGGCGCGAUCGGUUCCCCCGGUCCUCGGAGCGGGCUACUCCAUCGCGUCCAGGCCCACAUCGGUUGGGGUGGUCGGUGAAAGGUCCCGGGAACGUACCGACUCUCCGGGGUCGACUUAUAGCCCGGGGCGCCAUACGACCCACCCCGACCGAGGAACGCGCUCCGGCUCGGAUGUGGGCGUAAUGGGGAUCAGCGGCCCGUCUUGAAACACGGACCAAGGAGUCGAACCGCCGUGCGAGUGUUUGGGUGUCAAGCCCCGACGCGGAAUGAAGGUGAACGGAGGUCAGAACCCCGUCUCGGGGCGCAUGAUCGACCGAUCCGGAUGUCUUCGGAUGGAUUUGAGUAUGAGCACGGCGGGUCGGACCCGAAAGAUGGUGAACUAUGCCUGGAUAGGGUGAAGCCAGAGGAAACUCUGGUGGAGGCUCGCAGCGGUUCUGACGUGCAAAUCGAUCGUCAAAUCUGGGUAUAGGGGCGAAAGACCAAUCGAACCAUCUGGUAGCUGGUUCCUGCCGAAGUUUCCCUCAGGAUAGCAGUAACGGUGUCAGUUUUAUGAGGUAAAGCGAAUGAUUAGCGGCCUGGGGGUGGCAACCACCUUC
RNAcentral lists this ribosomal RNA (706 nucleotides) under unidentified. RNAcentral's name for it is "Placidium nigrum partial large subunit ribosomal RNA". It matches the Rfam family "Eukaryotic large subunit ribosomal RNA", at positions 327 to 1049 of the family's 3401-position model. The record is from RNAcentral.